UACAUGGGGUGCAAACGUUGCUCGGAAUUAUUGGGCGUAAAGCGCACGUAGGCGGUUCGUUAAGUCGGAUGUGAAAGCCCUCGGCUCAACUGAGGAAGUGCACCCGAAACUGGCGAGCUUGAGUACGAAAGAGGAUCGCGGAAUUCCCGGUGUAGAGGUGAAAUUCGUAGAUAUCGGGAGGAACACCGGUGGCGAAGGCGGCGAUCUGGGUCGAUACUGACGCUGAGGUGCGAAAGCAUGGGGAGCGAACGAGG
RNAcentral lists this ribosomal RNA (254 nucleotides) under uncultured bacterium. Its description in RNAcentral is "partial 16S ribosomal RNA". It matches the Rfam family "Bacterial small subunit ribosomal RNA", at positions 524 to 777 of the family's 1533-position model. The record is from RNAcentral.